Heterocephalus glaber (naked mole-rat) is the source of this 1190-nucleotide long non-coding RNA. RefSeq lists it as uncharacterized. NCBI's taxonomy places the organism in Eukaryota, Metazoa, Chordata, Mammalia, Rodentia, Bathyergidae. The record is from RefSeq and is a predicted model, not a curated record.
GGGCCCAUAGGACUGUUGAGGAAUCAGCUCUAACUGAUGAUUGCCAAUGCAGAUAAAGCACUGGCAGAGUUUUCCAGCUUCUCAACAGAAGCAGAAGUCCAAGUGAUGAGGUUUAAGCUGCAAAGACGUAUUACAUAAGAACAAGGGAAGCUGCUUUAUGGCACGCUGGUGAAGGAUCCUGCUGAUUCCUCCUGAGCGGCUCUCGACUUCCUUUAUGGCAUCAAAGGCCCCAGAAACUGUUAGUGAAGAUGACGUGGAGGAGGGGAUAAUUUUUCUGUUUCCUGAGGUGCCGUUUCUCCUUGUAUGCUUGCUGUGUUGACACUUACGCUGAUGAUGCAAAAGCGACAGCGGGGGCCACUCGAGCCAGCGGCAGCAGACCCAACAGCUUGCUGGCAGGUCCCUUCCCGCCACAUGCUUGCAAUAAAGAAGGAGGAAAAAAUCAAUUUCAUUUAAGAAUGUCUUCGGUGAAGCAGUAAAAAUGAUUAAUUUUAUUAAAUCUCAACCCUUGAAUACAUGUCCUUUCAAUAUUUUCUGUGAGAAAAUUAUACUUCACAGAGCAAGCGGUUGAGUAGCUGAGUGCCGCUGGUGAGCUGCCUUCCCAUGGACAGCUGUCCUUAGCUGCCCUUGCUGCCCUGGCACGGACUUCCUUCCGGUAGGUACCACAGAGACUCUGCUGCUGCUCGGUGAGCCACAGCAGGCCCUGUCUAAUAAAGUCUGGGUCAGCUCUGGGUAGAGGGAAGGGGCUUGUCUUUGGUCAGUUUGUCCCAGCCCUAGGGGUGGUGGAUGCCUGUUAUGCCUGCUUUUGUAUUCUUUAGAGAGAGAGCUAAAGUACCCUCAUUAUUCCAAUGUCCUGUUCUAGUUGAAAAGCCCUUGUAUCCAACUUUCCUACUCAACUUCCUGUAUGGUGUCUCUCUCCUGAUUGAACCCAGAGUAAUGUCCACCAAUAAGAUGCUUUCCUCUGCAAAAAGCCUCCAGACUACCCCUGGCCUGGGUCUAACAGCACCCUCAAAUGUUCAUUAAGAUCCUCUAUUAGUCACCUUUUCAUUACUGGGACAAAUCACUGACACCCACAAUUUAAAAGAUCGGGUGUUUUUUGCUUUUGCUUUUGGCUCAUGGUUUCAAAGACUUCAGUCUGUUUUUGAGUGGCUCCAAGGCACAAACAUGGUGGCAUAGGGCAUGGCAGAGGAAAG